Molecule: unclassified non-coding RNA, 808 nt
Filed under: uncultured Prochlorococcus sp.
Lineage: Bacteria; Bacillati; Cyanobacteriota; Cyanophyceae; Synechococcales; Prochlorococcaceae
Description: partial 16S-23S ribosomal RNA intergenic spacer; may also contain 16S ribosomal RNA and 23S ribosomal RNA
Rfam family: Bacterial small subunit ribosomal RNA (bases 1-93)
Source: RNAcentral
UUGUGGAGGAGGACGCCGAAGGUGGGGCUGAUGACUGGGGUGAAGUCGUAACAAGGUAGCCGUACCGGAAGGUGCGGCUGGAUCACCUCCUAACAGGGAGACAUAAACUGAUUAUGAUGUCUGAUUUAUAAAUUAGGCCUUAAUCCUGUCACCUUAGGUCGAUCGGUACCUCUGAUUAAAUACUUCAAAAGUGAGAAAUUGCUUUAUUUAGUUGUUAAUUUCAGUUCCUAAACUUGUCUAGGUCACACCCAACAAACUUUCUCCUGGGCUAUUAGCUCAGGCGGUUAGAGCGCACCCCUGAUAAGGGUGAGGUCCCUGGUUCAAGUCCAGGAUGGCCCAUUCCGUUGUUGGGGGUAUAGCUCAGUUGGUAGAGCGCCUGCUUUGCAAGCAGGAUGUCAGCGGUUCGAGUCCGCUUACCUCCACUGAUCAACCUCCUGAUAACGAACUCGCAGGAGAUUUCCGCUGGAUGUGAUUUAGUAUUUUGUUCCUGAUGAUUGAACCUAGCUUCUUAUCAUUCCCUAAUAGCUAAAUAUCUUUAGUACAGGUUGAUAUGAUGCUGGGCUCUCUGUGAUUUUUAAAUUGCAGAGGUCUUCAGUAGAACCUUGACAACUGCAUAGGUAAGUCUGGAAAGAAUAAAGCAUCUCAUAGAUGCAUUUUCUUUUGAUUCAAUUGAGGUUUUCUGUUAACGCAGAAUUACCACGUUGAUGAAAAAGUUUAAUGUUCAAUUCUUGAGUAAGAGCCGAGACUCUAUAGCAUCCUUUUAAUUAUUUAAAUCGAGACUAUUAGAGUUCAUAUGGUCAAGCUACAA